UACGGAGGGUGCGAGCGUUGUCCGGAAUCACUGGGCGUAAAGGGCGCGUAGGCGGCCUGAUAAGUCGGGGGUGAAAUCCUGCGGCUUAACCGCAGGGCUGCCUUCUAAACUGUCAGGCUGGAGCACAGUAGAGGCAGGUGGAAUUCCCGGUGUAGCGGUGGAAUGCGUAGAGAUCGGGAAGAACAUCAGUGGCGAAGGCGGAUCUCUGGGCCUUACCUGACGCUGAGGCGCGAAAGCUAGGGGAGCAAACAGG
RNAcentral lists this ribosomal RNA (253 nucleotides) under uncultured bacterium. Its description in RNAcentral is "partial 16S ribosomal RNA". It matches the Rfam family "Bacterial small subunit ribosomal RNA", at positions 524 to 776 of the family's 1533-position model. The record is from RNAcentral.